CGGUUUAGCUCAGCAGGUAGAGCAGCUGAUUUGUAAUCAGAAGGUCGCGGGUUCGAUUCCUGCAACCGG
This 69-nucleotide transfer RNA is filed under the name Paracoccus kondratievae. It matches the Rfam family "tRNA". Rfam says of the family: Transfer RNA (tRNA) molecules are approximately 80 nucleotides in length. Their secondary structure includes four short double-helical elements and three loops (D, anti-codon, and T loops). The record is from RNAcentral. RNAcentral also lists the same sequence under 1 other name. Lineage: Bacteria; Pseudomonadati; Pseudomonadota; Alphaproteobacteria; Rhodobacterales; Paracoccaceae.